UGGCACUGCUCCAUCUGCCGCCGCCGCUAGUGUGCUUCGGCGGGACUCAGACGUCGUGGUACGGCUCCAUCUGCCGCCGUCUCCACUGUGCUUCGGCAGGACUGGAGAUGGACAAGUGGAUUAUAAUGGACAGCGGGCGGCAGUGGAUGUAUCGACGGGGAGGCGAAUGACCUGCAGCUCUUUCCUCCUCUUUGGACUGGAAGAACGGAGAAUGGGAAGGAGCAAGAGAUUGGCG
RNAcentral lists this long non-coding RNA (235 nucleotides) under Hordeum vulgare. Its description in RNAcentral is "long non-coding RNA (HVUL_LNC006463)". Lineage: Eukaryota; Viridiplantae; Streptophyta; Magnoliopsida; Poales; Poaceae. The record is from RNAcentral.